RNAcentral lists this ribosomal RNA (519 nucleotides) under uncultured bacterium. RNAcentral's name for it is "partial 16S ribosomal RNA". It matches the Rfam family "Bacterial small subunit ribosomal RNA", at positions 28 to 507 of the family's 1533-position model. The record is from RNAcentral.
GACGAACGCUGGCGGCGUGCCUAAUACAUGCAAGUCGAGCGAGUCUGCCUUGAAGAUCGGAGUGCUUGCACUCUGUGAAACAAGAUACAGGCUAGCGGCGGACGGGUUAGUAACACGUGGGUAACCUGCCCAAGAGAUCGGGAUAACACCUGGAAACAGAUUCUAAUACCGGAUAACAACAGAUGAUGCCUAUCAACUGUUUAAAAGAUGGUUCUGCUAUCACUCUUGGAUGGACCUGCGGUGCAUUAGCUAGUUGGUAGGGUAACGGCCUACCAAGGCGAUGAUGCAUAGCCGGGUUGAGAGACUGAUCGGCCACAUUGGGACUGAGACACGGCCCAAACUCCUACGGGAGGCAGCAGUAGGGAAUCUUCCACAAUGGACGCAAGUCUGAUGGAGCAACGCCGCGUGAGUGAAGAAGGGUUUCGGCUCGUAAAGCUCUGUUGUUGGUGAAGAAGGACAGGGGUAGUAACUGACCUUUGUUUGACGGUAAUCAAUGAGAAAGUCACGGCUAACUACGUG